UACGAACCGGACGAACGUUAUUCGGAAUUAUUGGGCUUAAAGGGUACGUAGGCGGCCUUGUAAGUCGGGUGUGAAAGCCCACGGCUCAACCGUGGAAUUGCGCCCGAUACUGCAAGGCUUGAGGGAGACAGGGGUGAGCGGAACUGAUGGUGGAGCGGUGAAAUGCGUUGAUAUCAUCAGGAACACCGGUGGCGAAAGCGGCUCGCUGGGUCUCUUCUGACGCUGAGGUACGAAAGCUAGGGUAGCGAACGGG
Molecule: ribosomal RNA, 253 nt
Filed under: uncultured bacterium
Lineage: Bacteria
Description: partial 16S ribosomal RNA
Rfam family: Bacterial small subunit ribosomal RNA
Source: RNAcentral